RNAcentral lists this ribosomal RNA (305 nucleotides) under uncultured bacterium. RNAcentral describes it as "bacterial SSU rRNA". It matches the Rfam family "Bacterial small subunit ribosomal RNA", at positions 333 to 636 of the family's 1533-position model. The record is from RNAcentral.
GUUAUCCUACGGGGCGCAGCAGUGAGGAAUAUUGGUCAAUGGUCGGGAGACUGAACCAGCCAAGCCGCGUGAGGGAGGAAGGUACAGAGUAUCGUAAACCUCUUUUGUCAGGGAACAAAGACUGGGACGCGUCCCCGGAUGAGUGUACCUGAAGAAAAAGCAUCGGCUAACUCCGUGCCAGCAGCCGCGGUAAUACGGAGGAUGCGAGCGUUAUCCGGAUUUAUUGGGUUUAAAGGGUGCGCAGGCGGUCUGUUAAGUCAGCGGUCAAAGCCCGGGGCUCAACCCCGGCCCGCCGUUGAAAGUGG